AGAGUUUGAUCAUGGCUCAGAUUGAACGCUGGCGGCAUGCCUUACACAUGCAAGUCGAGCGGCAGCGCGGGGGCAACCCUGGCGGCGAGCGGCGAACGGGUGAGUAAUACAUCGGAACAUGUCCAGUCGUGGGGGAUAACCUGGCGAAAGCCAGGCUAAUACCGCAUGAGCUCGGGAGAGGAAAGCGGGGGACCGUAAGGCCUCGCGCGAUUGGGUUGGCCGAUAUCAGAUUAGGUUGUUGGUGAGGUAAAAGCUCACCAAGCCUGCGAUCUGUAGCUGGUCUGAGAGGACGACCAGCCACACUGGAACUGAGACACGGUCCAGACUCCUACGGGAGGCAGCAGUGGGGAAUUUUGGACAAUGGACGAAAGUCUGAUCCAGCAAUGCCGCGUGCAGGACGAAGGCCUUCGGGUUGUAAACUGCUUUUGUACGGAACGAAACGGUCUUCUUUAAUACAGAGGGCUAAUGACGGUACCGUAAGAAUAG
This 486-nucleotide ribosomal RNA is filed under the name uncultured Hylemonella sp. RNAcentral describes it as "bacterial SSU rRNA". It matches the Rfam family "Bacterial small subunit ribosomal RNA", at positions 8 to 489 of the family's 1533-position model. Lineage: Bacteria; Pseudomonadati; Pseudomonadota; Betaproteobacteria; Burkholderiales; Comamonadaceae. The record is from RNAcentral.